UAGAGAAAGCUCCACCUGUGCAGGUGUUGUAGUAGCCAUAGUGAAAGCUCCACCUAUGCAGGUGUUCUAGUAUCUGUAGAGAAAGCUCCAACUGUGCAGGUGUUGUAGAAGCCAUAGAGAAAGCUCCACCUGUGCAGGUGUUGUAGUAGCCGUAGAGAAAGCUCCACCUGUGCAGGUGUUCUAGUAUCCAUAGAGAAAACUCCACCUGUGCAGGUGUUCUAGUAUCCACAGAGAAAUCUCCACCUGUGCAGGUGUUGUAGUAGCCGUAGAGAAAGCUCCACCUGUGCAGGUGUUCUAGUAUCCAUAGAGAAAGCUCCACCUGUGCAGGUGUUCUAGUAUCCACAGAGAAAUCUCCACCUGUGCACGUGUUGUAGUAGCCGUAAAGAAAGCUCCACCUGUGCAGGUGUUCCAGUAUCCGUAGAGAAAACUCCACCUGUGCAGGUGUUCUAGUAUCCACAGAGAAAUCUCCACCUGUGCAGGUGUUGUAGUAGCCGUAGAGAAAGCUCCACCUGUGCAGGUGUUCUAGUAUCUGUAGAGAAAGCUCCAACUGUGCAGGUGUUCUAGUUUCUGUAGAGAAAGCUGUGCAGGUGUUCUAGUAUCCGUAGAGAAAGCUCCAUCUGUGCAGGUGUUCUAGUAUCUGUAGAGAAAGCUCCACCUGUGCAGGUGUUCUAGUAUCCAUAGAGAAAACUCCACCUGUGCAGGUGUUCUAGUAUCCACAGAGAAAUCUCCACCUGUGCAGGUGUUCUAGUAUCCACAGAGAAAUCUCCACCUGUGCAGCUGUUGUAGUAGCCGUAGAGAAAGCUCCACCUGUGCAGGUGUUCUAGUAUCCAUAGAGAAAACUCCACCUGUGCAGGUGUUCUAGUAUCCACAGAGAAAUCUCCACCUGUGCAGGUGUUGUAGUAGCCGUAGAGAAAGCUCCACCUGUGCAGGUGUUGUAGUAGCUGUAGAGAAAGCUCCACUUGUGCAAGUGUUCUAGUAUCCAUAGAGAAAACUCCACCUGUGCAGGUGUUCUAGUAUCCCUGGCGAAAUCUCCACCUGUGCAGGUGUUGUAGUAGCCAUAGUGAAAGCUCCACCUAUGCAGGUGUUCUAGUAUCUGUAGAGAAAGCUCCAACUGUGCAGGUGUUGUAGAAGCCAUAGAGAAAGCUCCACCUGUGCAGGUGUUCUAGUAUCUGUAGAGAAAGCUCCAACUGUGCAGGUGUUGUAGAAGCCAUAGAGAAAGCUCCACCUGUGCAGGUGUUCUAGUAUCUGUAGAGAAAGCUGUGCAGGUGUUCUAGUAUCCGUAGAGAAAGCUCCACCUGUGCAGGUGUUCUAGUAGCCAUAUAGAGAAAGCUCCACCUGUGCAGGUGUUCUAGUAUCUGUAGAGAAAGCUCCACCUUUGCAGGUGUUCUAGUAGCCGUAAAGAAAGCUCCACCUGUGCAGGUGUUCUAGUAUCCAUAGAGAAAACUCCAC
This is a long non-coding RNA of Astyanax mexicanus (Mexican tetra), 1449 nucleotides long. RefSeq lists it as uncharacterized. The record is from RefSeq and is a predicted model, not a curated record. NCBI's taxonomy places the organism in Eukaryota, Metazoa, Chordata, Actinopteri, Characiformes, Acestrorhamphidae. The transcript is spliced from 10 exons.